Molecule: long non-coding RNA, 433 nt
Organism: Rhagoletis zephyria (snowberry fruit fly)
Lineage: Eukaryota; Metazoa; Arthropoda; Insecta; Diptera; Tephritidae
Source: RefSeq, a predicted model, not a curated record
UUUGUACAGUACACUACGAGAAUACGCGCAUACCACAAUGAGAUAUGAUUCUUUUGCAGUGGUAGAGUAGAGUAGUAGUAUGUAAUAGCGUAUAGAAUUGAAUCGAUUGAGCCAACGAACCGUAGGAAGAGGGGGCCAGGGGGCGCUGGGGUACACGAAUGUGUAUGGAUAUUUCACAAUUUCGCAGCGAUUACGAGUGAAUUGGUCUACUGGGAAUUUCACAACGACAUCAUUUUGCUAUAUCUUCAUGACUAUCACCACCCACACUUCAACUAAUAUGUCCGACAUUACCAACUAAAUGUUAUCAACAGCUCCAUUAUCACAUAUGUAUACUACACUGAGUUCUAGAAAAAUUAAACUACGUUUACAAUUUAUUAAGAAUUUUCAUUAUGAUGUCUAUUUACUAUAUACACAUCUGCAUAAAUAUGUAUAU